CUUAAUAUGUAUUUUCGUCAUGGCUCUUGUCCAAAAUAAAUAAGAAUAAGAUGCUUCACUUUCACUUUUUCUAUAAUGUGACACCCUUGCCACUUUUUCAAGUCCUCUAAUACUUCUGACAUGAGUGGUUCUUCUUUCAACAAUCUCUUCAACUUCUUGGUUCUUGCCAAAUAGACCUUUUAUUUUACUUUUGUUUACAUAAGUACGAAUAAACA
Molecule: long non-coding RNA, 215 nt
Filed under: Physcomitrium patens
Lineage: Eukaryota; Viridiplantae; Streptophyta; Bryopsida; Funariales; Funariaceae
Description: long non-coding RNA (PPAT_LNC009359)
Source: RNAcentral